Non-coding RNA from Triticum urartu, 509 nucleotides. Lineage: Eukaryota; Viridiplantae; Streptophyta; Magnoliopsida; Poales; Poaceae. The record is from RefSeq and is a predicted model, not a curated record.
CGGAUGCUCACGUGUGGGAGCGGUGCUGCUCCGGCGAGCUCCUUCACCCUCGAGCACGGCGCGUCGUCGACAGCCUCCAUCCUCUUCUUCCCUCUUCCAUCAGCCAAGCACAACUCCGUUUCACAGGUCCUUCAGAAAAUGGGAAAAGGGGUUUUCUUCCAUGUUUAUCUACAAAAUGUUUCAAUGCCUCUGUUUAUAGGAGGCACGGAGAUGUUUCCUGAACGGAUGUGCAAUCUGGUUUAAAAUGGGCGAUGGCACAAAAUUAGGCUCUCUUAGGAGUCGGAAUGGCGCUCUUAGAUGCCCAUUUGAUUUCAGUGGAGCUGGUGCUUGUGUGUUCAGAUGAAGACAGGAAUUGUGUGAGGGAUUAGAAAAGAAAAUUAUGGCAGAGAUAAUGCCAUAGGCGUGGGUAAGUCGUGAUGUGAGGAGAUGCAUACACAUGUGUAUACAUUCCAAUUCUGCACUCAUAUGUACUCCUACUUUUUUUUGAGACAAAAAUGUGCUCCUGCUAA